Schistosoma mansoni is the source of this 45-nucleotide non-coding RNA. The record is from Rfam. Lineage: Eukaryota; Metazoa; Platyhelminthes; Trematoda; Strigeidida; Schistosomatidae.
AUUUGGCUGGUGAGUCUCAAAUAGGACGAAACGCGAGUCAUGAAU